CGCAUGAUGUUAUCGCUCUCCGCAAUCGCUACAACAACGUCCUACAGCAACAUUUCGCACCGCAAAUCGUACCCCAAACUUCACAGCUUCAAUUUCCGCCAAGUUAAGCGCCACUGUUUGGUGGCCGGCCAGAACGCCACUCCAUGGAUUUCACCCCGCUGAGCCCCCUAACUGUUGAACCCAGGGGGAUCCCGCUUAAACUAGCCUGCAUCUUCAACCACCGUGCCAAACGGCAUCAAAA
Molecule: long non-coding RNA, 241 nt
Filed under: Volvox carteri
Lineage: Eukaryota; Viridiplantae; Chlorophyta; Chlorophyceae; Chlamydomonadales; Volvocaceae
Description: long non-coding RNA (VCAR_LNC001777)
Source: RNAcentral